Molecule: ribosomal RNA, 393 nt
Filed under: uncultured bacterium
Lineage: Bacteria
Description: partial 16S ribosomal RNA
Rfam family: Bacterial small subunit ribosomal RNA
Source: RNAcentral
AUACGGAGGAUGCGAGCGUUAUCCGGAUUUAUUGGGUUUAAAGGGAGCGUAGGUGGGAUAUUAAGUCAGCUGUGAAAGUUUGGGGCUCAACCUUAAAAUUGCAGUUGAUACUGGUUUCCUUGAGUACGGUAUAGGUGGGCGGAAUUCGUGGUGUAGCGGUGAAAUGCUUAGAUAUCACGAAGAACUCCGAUCGCGAAGGCAGCUCACCGGGCCGGAACUGACACUGAUGCUCGAAAGUGCGGGUAUCAAACAGGAUUAGAUACCCUGGUAGUCCGCACAGUAAACGAUGAAUACUUGUUUUCGGCGAUAUAAUGUCGGAGGCAAAGCGAAAGCGAUAAGUAUUCCACCUGGGGAGUACGCCGGCAACGGUGAAACUUAAAGGAAUUGACGGGG